Diceros bicornis minor is the source of this 518-nucleotide RNA transcript. It is a transcript of the gene named transport and Golgi organization protein 1 homolog, with no coding region annotated. NCBI's taxonomy places the organism in Eukaryota, Metazoa, Chordata, Mammalia, Perissodactyla, Rhinocerotidae. The transcript has 4 exons. The record is from RefSeq and is a predicted model, not a curated record.
CUUCCUCAAGGGUCAGAUGAUGGGUCUCCCCUUCUGCUCGGGGGUCACCUGAGGUGUGUGGGGAGCCCUCUGCCAUUGAUCCGGGACCUGUUUCUGCGGCUGUGAGGAGCAGCAGCUCCGGGGGCAAGGUCAAUGUUGAGGCAAGAGGGCCUCCUUCUUUUGCAGCACCACCCUGCACAACCAACCCUGUGGGCUCUGGGCCACAUCUGUCUCCUCCAUCCUGGAGGCCUCUAGGCCCUCACCCGCUGCCUCCACGUGUCCCACUCGGACACUCAUUUUGAAGGAGGACACUGAGCUGUGAUAAACAGACUGUGGCAAAUUAUUAUGGUUUUCCCUGCCGGAUCCUGCCCCCUCCACUUUUAUCUUUCCUGUUGUCACCCCUAAUACACUCUUUACAGUUCUAACUCAGUAUCAGCGUCUGCUUUUUGGAGGACCAUCCAACUCACCCCAGGGAGUGUAUACAGUGUGAUUCUUGUAUACAGUUCAAAAACAGGCAGAAACCACGGGGAUGGGGCAGA